AGUCNAACGAGACGAGAUGGAAGUGCUUGCACGGAAAUCUUAGAAAGNNNCGAACGGGUGAGUAACGCGUGGGUAACCUGCCCUAUGGAAAGGAAUAGCCUCGGGAAACUGGGAGUAAUGCCUUAUAAUACAUUGAAGUCGCAUGGCUUUGGUGUUAAACGCUCCGGUGCCAUAGGAUGGACCCGCGUCCCAUUAGCUAGUUGGUGAGAUAACAGCCCACCAAGGCGACGAUGGGUAACCGGUCUGAGAGGGCGAACGGUCACACUGGAACUGAGACACGGCCCAGACUCCUACGGGAGGCAGCAGUGGGGAAUAUUGCACAAUGGGGGAAACCCUGAUGCAGCGAUGCCGCGUGAACGAAGAAGGCUUUCGAGUCGUAAAGUUCUGUUCUUAGGGAAGAAAAUGACGGUACCUAAGGAGAAAGCACCGGCUAAAUACGUGCCAGCAGCCGCGGUAAUACGUAUGGUGCAAGCGUUGUCCGGAAUUACUGGGCGUAAAGAGUUCGUAGGCGGUCAAAUAAGUCAGAAGUGAAAGGCUACGGCUCAACCGUAGUAAGCUUUUGAAACUGUUUGACUUGAGUACUGGAGAGGAAAGUGGAAUUCCUAGUGUAGCGGUGAAAUGCGUAGAUAUUAGGAGGAACACCAGUGGCGAAGGCGGCUUUCUGGACAGUAACUGACGCUGAGGAACGAAAGCGUGGGGAGCAAACAGGAUUAGAUACCCUGGUAGUCCACGCCGUAAACGAUGAGAACUAGGUGUUGGUCAAAAGAUCAGUGCCGCAGCUAACGCAAUAAGUUCU
RNAcentral lists this ribosomal RNA (796 nucleotides) under uncultured bacterium. RNAcentral's name for it is "bacterial SSU rRNA". It matches the Rfam family "Bacterial small subunit ribosomal RNA", at positions 60 to 868 of the family's 1533-position model. The record is from RNAcentral.